This is a non-coding RNA of Ciona intestinalis (vase tunicate), 456 nucleotides long. NCBI's taxonomy places the organism in Eukaryota, Metazoa, Chordata, Ascidiacea, Phlebobranchia, Cionidae. The record is from RefSeq and is a predicted model, not a curated record.
UUUCCUUUCUUGGCAUGGAGUGCAGGUAAACUUAUCAACUAUUGACUAAAAUAGUUAUAUGCUAAAAUUCCAUUUAUUUUAAUUGAAAUUUAUCCUUCAGGACAGCUUUAGCAGCUCUUCACUUUAAUGAGAAUGCUCACCGGGCACAGUCUGUCACAAAGGAUGGUGUACCAGUAUAUGGGAUUCACUAUCCCAAGUAUAAGAAGGGUGGUUACAUCGUCAGAAAAGUCAUACAGGAAGCAACCUAUGAUCGUUAAGUCUAUUUGCCAGAGAGAUAACAAUCUUGAAGUUGAAGAGACACUGACCGAUGAAACGACAAGGCUGCCUCUAAGCUCUUCAUGUGAAAAGCCAGACCGAGAUAGUGCUAUUAAAAAUCAUGUGUCACGUUUCAUGUCAAACUCUCUCUAUUGAACACUAUGUUUCAGGCGAUUAUAAAUAUGAUCUGGCAAGUUUUUA